CUCAGGAGCGGGCGGUGACGGCGACGGCGGCGGCAGAGGAGGCAGCGGCUGGGCCGGGCCCCGUGCGUCUGUCCGCGCCCCGUGGAUGCGAAUCGGCCGCGGCGGAGGCGGCGGCGGCGGAGGAGGCGGCGGCGGGAGGAGGAGUCGGUGAGCCGGCUCCGGGCCGGAGGGGCGCGGAGGAUGAGGCCGCUGCCUGGCGCUCUUGGCGUGGCGGCGGCCGCCGCGCUGUGGCUGCUGCUGCUGCUGCUGCCCCGGACCCGGGCGGACGAGCACGAACACACGUAUCAAGAUAAAGAGGAAGUUGUCUUAUGGAUGAAUACUGUUGGGCCCUACCAUAAUCGUCAAGAAACAUAUAAGUACUUUUCACUUCCAUUCUGUGUGGGGUCAAAAAAAAGUAUCAGUCAUUACCAUGAAACUCUGGGAGAAGCACUUCAAGGGGUUGAAUUGGAAUUUAGUGGUCUGGAUAUUAAAUUUAAAGAUGAUGUGAUGCCAGCCACUUACUGUGAAAUUGAUUUAG
Molecule: long non-coding RNA, 517 nt
Filed under: Homo sapiens (human)
Lineage: Eukaryota; Metazoa; Chordata; Mammalia; Primates; Hominidae
Description: long non-coding RNA NONHSAT157366.1
Source: RNAcentral